Molecule: ribosomal RNA, 376 nt
Filed under: uncultured bacterium
Lineage: Bacteria
Description: bacterial SSU rRNA
Rfam family: Bacterial small subunit ribosomal RNA
Source: RNAcentral
UAAUACGUAGGGGGCAAGCGUUGUCCGGAAUUAUUGGGCGUAAAGCGCGCGCAGGCGGUGAUUUAAGUUUGGUGUAUAAUCCCGGGGCUCAACCCCGGAUCGCACUGAAAACUGGGUCACUUGAGUGCGGGAGAGGAAAGUGGAAUUCCACGUGUAGCGGUGAAAUGCGUAGAGAUGUGGAGGAACACCAGUGGCGAAGGCGACUUUCUGGCCCGUAACUGACGCUGAGGCGCGAAAGCGUGGGGAGCAAACAGGAUUAGAUACCCUGGUAGUCCACGCCGUAAACGAUGAGUGCUAGGUGUUAGGGGUUUCAAUACCCUUGGUGCCGAAGUUAACACAGUAAGCACUCCGCCUGGGGAGUACGCUCGCAAGAGUG